Molecule: non-coding RNA, 73 nt
Organism: Cordylochernes scorpioides
Lineage: Eukaryota; Metazoa; Arthropoda; Arachnida; Pseudoscorpiones; Chernetidae
Source: the annotation of a GenBank genome assembly
UGCAGGGUAGCCUAGUGGACAUGGCAUCUGCCCGGUAAGCAGAACACUGUGGGUUCGAUUCCCAUCCCUGGAC